Molecule: long non-coding RNA, 19834 nt
Filed under: Medicago truncatula (barrel medic)
Lineage: Eukaryota; Viridiplantae; Streptophyta; Magnoliopsida; Fabales; Fabaceae
Description: long non-coding RNA (MTRU_LNC002296)
Source: RNAcentral
ACCCACCUAUAUCUUCUAGCUUCAAUGGCACUAAGAGCUUGAUAUUCAACUCCUUCCCACCAAUUUUUUGGGUUAGUGGAACAUGUAGUUGGUCCUGGAAUUGCACAUCCUUCAAUAUCAAAAUCCUUGUAAUAAGCAUAGAAAGGUGCUUUACUCCAAUUAAUUUUCUCUAAUCCACCUCUUGUUGCCCAAUUAUCAGCUUCCCAUAAUGUUGAAAAUACUCCCAUGGCUUGCAUUUUUGGGUAUGGUAUCCCUUUUGCUUCAUUGUUCUUGUAUACUCUAAUAGGAACUUCAUCAACAUAGAAGCUGCAUGUGUGUAAGGUCUUACGUUAGUCUCACGUCUUAGAAUGCAAUUUUGGCCACAAAAUCAAAGUUUUUUAUUUUUUAUAUUUUUUAUGAUUCUGUGACAAUAUUGUGACUAUAAAUAAUGGAUAAUGUUUCAUAGAUACCCUUUUCUUCAUACACACAUUGUACCAUCCCCAUGUGAAAGACAAUAAAUGCGAGUUUUUUGUAUAUUUAAGAACCACAUGGACAUAUAUCACAAUCUAUGUAAGUAAUUGUAGUCUCCAUCAAAAAAAGGUAAUUGUUGUCAUGUCUUGUAUUAAAAAUAUAGUAAGUCACCAAAAUUAGAUUUUUUUUUUUUUUUAAAUUAAAGAUAUUCGGAUUUUACAUAUUUCUAAUGUAUAAAUUUCUGUCAUCGCUAUUUUUUUUUUUUUUUUUAUGGUUUUGCAUUAUCAAGAGAAAUGUUUUUUUAACAAUUAAAUUCAAACAACUUUGACAACUAACUCGGUUCAAAUAGUGGCUAACUACCUUCAGUAUAUGUUUAGUAAAUACAUUAGAUGUCUAAAUUUAUUAACUAUCAAUAUAACUCUACUAACCUCAAAUUUGGACAUAGUUACCAUAAUCUAACCUCAAAUUUGGAGAUGGUUACCAUAAUUUUCAAGUAUUUAACUGCAUGUAGGUUUGAACACUUGAAAGUUGUGGUUAAUCACACUCAAAUUGUAGUCAAUGAAGUUAUGAUUAAUAGGUUUUGACAUAUGUUAUAUCCAUAACUAUUUCUAUCGAACCAAAUCAUCCAUCUAUUUGAAUUUUGAACAACAUCAAUUACUUAAAAAGGUUAUUGCUAAAGUUGUUUACAAUCAAUGUUUAAAUAACAACGCUGCAAAAUAAAAUAUAGGAGUGCAACUUUGUGAUUUAAACCAUUAUGCUUAACUUUUUUUUGGUUCAUUUUAUCACACUUUUUGUUCUUGCUUGUCUUUAUUUACUUACACAAUAUGGUGAUGAUUCCAAAGAAUGGAGUAAGUGUGGAAAUCAGCAGAAGGAUCAAACCAAAGAUUAACUCUUUGUUCUCUAUCACCCUUUCCAUGAGCAUAAAUGUUUGUUUGAACUGUGUAAGGUUGUCCAGUACGGUUUCCCAAGAACUCAAAAUCCAACUCAUCACGUACACUGUCAGUGUCAGAGUUCAUCUACCACAAAAAAUAUAUUCAAUGAUUUCAGUUUUUGACUCGCUUAAUUAUAUUUUUAACAAAGAGUAGGGAAAUUAAUAUGAACUUACAUAAAAUGCAGUAACAGUACCAGCAGAAUCUCCAGGGACAAGUUUGAUCUUCAUGCUUACACGACCAAACAAAUACUUCACCUUUGAUGCAAACCCGCAACCUGUGCAAAAAUUAAAUUAAGUAUUUUUGAUAGAUAAAUAGGUAACAUGACUUAUCCAAAUUAUAUUAGUAUAGUAUUUGUUAUUUAUAGUAUAUAAUAACAUAAGUUACUUACCAGAGCCUUGGUCUAGGGUAAGUUGGAUAGUUCUGCCUUGAUCAAUUUGCUUGAUAUGGGGUUCUGACCACGUGACAUGAAAAUCUUGAUUAAAAGUUGCUGGUCUUCCCCAAACAGAUGAUACGACAAUCCACAAUAACAACAUAAAAAAGACACCAUUGUUUUUAAAGGGGUAAAAUAUGGCCAUGGAUGUGUAUUACGUAAUGUAAUAUAUAGGAAGAAAAUAUUUGAUUGUGCAAUGUAAACGAGAGUAGUGUCCAAUAUUUAUACAUGAGAAUUUGGAAAGGAAAAAGAAAAGAAUAAUCAAUCAGUUCAUUGUCUCAUUGAAAUGGAAGAUGUUAAAACAUAUAACAUUGCUUUCUAUACAGCUAAGGGCUUGAAGUCAUUAGGACCUACCUAAGCAGUUUGUCCUCUGCUUGGCCCCUUUAAUCCUUUGUUUGCCCAAUCAUUUUCUUGGCGUGUGCUUCAUAUGUAUUUAUAAAUAAAAAAUAAUAAUUUGAGCAAAAAUGAACAACAUUUAAUGUGUUGAUGGGAUAAGUAUUUUUUAGAUGAACUAUCAAUGAUUAAUUUGUUAGCGUUUAACCUUUAAUUUCAAGAAACAAAGUUAAAAUUCUUUUAGAAACAAUUAUAAAAUAGUCAGUAAUGUCAUUUUAAUUUAAUUAAAUAAUUUCAUCAUUCUCAAUUUCUUUUGACCAAGUAGUUUAGUGACCAUAAUUUUAUGGUUUGAAGAAUUUCGAGUUCGAAUUUCAACCCCUACAUAUUAUAACGUCGCUAUCAAUCGAGAACUAUUCAUAAUUUAAUAAAACAAAAGUUGAUUAAUAUGGUAAGGGAAGAGUUUGUUAGCAUUAAAUAUCUUGAAUCUCUCGCGAAAACACAUUUUAAUUGGUAGUUGAAAGGAUUGAUAUGGAGAGACCGAAAUUUGAACUUCAGAUUAGUGUGAGUCUAGUCAUUAAACUACUUGACUAAAAAAAAAUCUUAAACCUCAUAUAGACAUAAUAUUGUUUCAGCGUCCCAACUUUUAUCUUUGGAUUAAUUAUUUUUUAAAUAGGUCAGAUUAACUUGUAUCUUAAAGACACAUGUUAAGUAUCCCAAAAAGAGCUACUUUGUAUUGGAAAACAUAAUAUUUUAAUUUUUAAGAAAUUGACUACACGACUUUUGAUACGUAUAUUAUUAUAAUGAAUUUCUUAACAUGUACUCAAGUUAGCAUUUGCCUUCUUAAAUUAGUUCAUCUCAGUUUUCUUUUCAUUUUUGCUUUGACAUUUUGAAACUUUCACAGCCAAACUUCAAAUUUUGAAUGAUAUGUGGAAAUUGAAAUUAUACACAAUGUACUACUAUUAGUAGAAAAAUUGGUUUGAGAUGAACUUAUUCAUACGUACAUUUCAGCUGAGAGGCCUAACAAUGUUGCUAAUUAUGAGCUUUGCUGUUAUCUUUAAUUUUCCUUUAUCUAAUUUGAGGUCCACGUAGCUUAAGCCUUUAAGGUGAGGCCAUUAAUCCAUAAUUAUUUGAUGAGCCAUGUACUGUGGACAGCUGAGGGAGGUUGAUUGAUCACGAACGGGUUGAAUCAGCAACUACAUCCAACGUGGAACCUACUCAUUGGUCCAAGCCAGAAUCAAAAACUGCUGCUAUUGAUUAUUGAAUAAGAAUCUUUACCCAAACAGUUUUGAUCAUUCCCAAAGUAAAUCACCAAAAAAUUGCUGCGUAAGUUAACUCACGCAGCGUGACUUAAGUCACGCUAAAAAACAAACAAAAUCUCACAGUCACGUUGAAACAAAAGCAGCACAAGAGUUUUGAGGAAAACCUAAUCCAUAUGCAAUAAGCAACAAAAGUCAUGGUGAUCUCGUCAAGGAAUUAUGUAUCAAUCGUGAAACCUCCAUAGUUAUUUAUUCUGAAUCAAUGACUUUGCUAUAAAGCCACUUUCUUUUGGGAAAAAAAUCGUGAUGUUCUUAAAUUGAAGGAAGGGAAAAACGUGGAUUGAAGUCCAAUUCAAGUCCACCAGGAACCGAAAAAGUCAUUCUUUAAAAAAAAAAAAAAAAGGUGAAGAAGACAACGGCAAAGAUGAAGAAGAGAUGAAUGACUUUUUGUUCUAGCGUGACUUAACUUAGGUACAAAAUAUACUAGCGCAUGUUAAGUCACGUAGCGUGACCUAACAUAAGUACAUACUAUUACACUAGCGCAUGUUAACAUACGUAAGAGUAUUUUAGACUUUUACUUUGGAAAUGAGCGAAAUCAUUUGGGUAAUGAGCAGAAAUCAUUGAAUAAUUUGGUUUGACCCCAAUAAUGCUAAUUAAGUUUCCAACUGUGAUUUUCGUGUAUUUCAGUGGGAGAGAAAAUCAUUCGAAUCAACCUUACCGUUUGGAUUAAAAAGGUUCUUGGAAUCAUUAUUCAACUUUUUAUUUUCACUUCUCGUUUUCUCCCUUCAUUUUUUUACUUCUAUCUUCCGUUUUUUUUUGUUUACUCGUUUUUUAUUUUCCAAUUUUUUUUCAUUAUAAGUUACCUAAACUAAGGCAAGGAGAAAAUAGAGAUGGUGACCAUAGUUUCGUCUACGUUUAUUAAAUGCAUGCUUAUUUAUAUGGCUGAUUGGGAAAUAUGGAACUAAUAGGAAUUUGCUGGACUUCACUUGUGCCGACAAGAACUUUGGUUUCUCUUAAUUAAGUACAUACAUCCUCUCUCGGUUUUAUGAUUGCAUAUUUUGUUGAGAAAAUUUAUUUUUGUUUAUUUAUCCUUUUCAAUAUGUUAGUUUGUAUUAGCUAUAUUUUUUAUAUUAUAAUCUAAAAGACAUUCUAAAAGUAACUAAUUGUAAUAAUAUUUGGGUCAAAUAUCAUCUAUGGUUCUUUAAGUUCGAUGUUUAUAACAAUGUAGUCAUUUAAAUUUUUUUGUUACAAAUUGAUCGUUUAAGUUAGAAAAUAUAAGGACAAUGAUUUUUUUUUAUUGUAUCAUAAAGUUUUGGACAUUAGGACAUGUAUAUAUGUUGCUUACAAGAGCCUUGGUCUAGGGUAAGUUGGAUAGUUCUGCCUUGAUCAAUUUGCUUGAUAUGGGGUUCUGACCACGUGACAUGAAAGUCUUGAUUAAAAGUUGCUGGUCUUCCCCAAACAGAUGAUACGACAAUCCACAAUAACAACAUAAAAAAGAUACCAUUGUUUUUAAAAGGGUAAAAUAUGGUCAUGGUUGUGUAUUACGUAAUGUAAUAUAUAGGAAGAAAAUAUUUGAUUGUGCAAUGUAAAUGAGCAUAGUGUCCUAUAUUUAUACAUGAGAAUUUGGAAAGGAAAACGAAGAGAAUAAUCAAUCAGUUCAUUGUCUCAUUGAAAUGGAAGAUGUUAAAACAUAUAACAUAUAUUGCUUUCUAUACAGCUAAGUGCUUGCCGACCUUAGGACCUACCUAAAUACCAUGACCAACGAAAAUUUGAGUGGAAUCAAAUUCGUUUAGAGAUGUUCAAAACCAAAUCAGUCCAAUAAAAAUCAUAAACCGAACCAACUAAAAUCGAUAACCACAAAAAACCCGUGUUUGGUUUGGUUGUGUUCGGGGCACUUUUCACUCAACUCCUCAUUAAGCUCAACAAACCUUCUUCUUUUUCCAAUUAACAUUAUAUAUACAAGGGUUAAUAUGUCUUUACCUCCUGUAAUUUGGGCGAGUUCCGGUUUUCCCCCCUGUAAAAAAAAAAGUUUAGAUUCCAACCCUGUAAAAUAAGAUUCUUUGAUUUUAGCCCCUGACCCAUGUGACUGUGCAUAAUUGCUGACGUGGCGGGCUGAGUGGCAUGCUGACGUGCUGACUGUAUAAUUUUUUUUUUUUUAUUUAAAAAAAUAUAUAAAAAUUAAAAAAAAAUCAGGAUUUUCUUUAUUACGAAAAAUAUUUUCUGAAAUAUUUAUUUUUCGAAAAUUCCAAAAUUUAUAAUUUACAAAAAAAAUAUAUUUCAAAAUUUUUUAAAAUUAUUUUUGAAAAUGUUGAAAUAUAUAUUUCAAAAAAAAAAUUCAAAAUUAUUUUCGAAAAUUUGGAAUAUAUAUUUUUUGAAGUUUAAAACAGAUUUUUUUUCGAAAAAUAAGUUUUUAAAAUUUUCUCAACAAAAAAAAAAAUCUGGAUACAAAUUUAUUUAAAAAUUUAGGAAAAUUUAGAUUUUUAUUACGAUGUGUUACAGAUUUGAGAAUAUUUUUUAAUAUUUAAAAAUUGAGGAUAAAAAAAUCUGGAAAUUUUUUUAAUAUUUAAAUUUAUUCUUAUCUAUUUGUUAUAUGUGUUAUUUGUAUUGAAAAUUGUGGGCAUUUUUGAAAAGAAACAGCCAACCCAAAAGCUGAAAGGGGUUGUUUUCUUUAUAUAUAUUUCCAAAAAUAUUAUAUAUAAAAAAUUCAUACACUUACUAUAUUUUGAAACUUUCAAAAAUUAAAAAAAAAUCCAAAUUAAUUAAAUUUUAAAAAUAUUCGAAAAAAUAAUAUAAGCUAAUUUUUUGAAUGUUUUGGUAAAAAAAUUAAUAUUUUUUUUUUUGAAAAAAAAUCCAAUCUUUUUUUUCGUUUUUUAAAAAAAUGUUUUUUUUCUUGAUUUUAAAUUUUUGAAAAUUAAUUUUCAGUUUUUUUUUUUAUCUUUUUAAAAAUAAUUUAUUAAACCAUUACACACAUGUCAAAUUUAAAAAAAUAAAAAUAAAAAUAAUUACACAGUGGCGUGCCACAUCAGCGUCUAAAUGAGGUCAAGGGUGUUUUGUGGAGAAUCUUCAUAUUACAGGGGUGUUUUGUGGAGAAUAUUUAUAUUAUAAGGUUGGAAUCUAAAUUUUUUUUUUACAGGGGGGAAAACCGGAACUCGCCCAAAUUACAGGGGGGUAAAGACAUAUUAUCCCUAUAUACAAAUAUGUAAUCUUUUUCGAUUCAAUUUAAAAAAAAAAAAAAAACCUAUUUGUAACAUGAAGACCAUCUCUCCUCCAACUCGGUUGUCUCUCCUCCAUGGUCUCUCUCCCUCUAUUUGCUUUGGAGUUCAAUUUUGAUGCAUUUUUUUUUUUUUUGGAGUUAGGCUAUACUUGGAUAACCUUUUGUUUAUGUUUAAUUGUUGCAAAUUUUGUAAUGGGAGUUAGUUGUUGCUAAAAAGUUGAAUUUUGUAACUUGUGAAGCUACCAAGUCAGGGAUAGAAGGAUGAAAGUUGAUCUUCAAUAGGGUUGAAAGGUUCAUUUUGGGGGUUGAAAACGUAAUGGCACAACUUGUGGAGCUACCUAAAAUUUUUAGUCUAAUUGGUUGCAAGUGAAAUUUUAAGGAGUCAAAUGACAUUCAAAGGGUUGAAGAAUUAAAGGAAAAUCUUAUGGGGUUACAAAGUGUAGUGGGAUGCAAGUAUAGUCAUAGAUGACUAGAGAAGAAUAAUCAGACCUAAAAACUUGCGGGAGUUAUCAAUGAUAGUUGGAUGCAAAUGGAGAUUAGUACCUAGAUCAAGGUUCAAGUGGGGCUUGGACUUGACCUGUUUCCUGAAGAGAAGUUCCAAGAUGGAGAGAGCAGCAUAGUGGUUGAUGAGUAAAUUGUAAUCACCACUUAUUUGAAGGCAGGAUAGAUAAUUUUGAAUUGUGUCAUAUAAAUAAGGCAGGAUGUGCUGUCAUAGAGCAACUCGCCCCGACGAGUAACUCCAUCAUUGCAGAGUGAUUUUCCAUGCUCAGUUUCGACGUAUGACGCUCACCGGAAGUCUGAUGCUCAUCGGAAGGAGACUUUGUUUCAAACAUAAGAUAAUGAUAUUCUGGAUUUUAGAAAAUUUGUUCAGAACGAUAAAUAAUUCAUAUCGAGAAUCAUGUGAGCUUUCAUCAUCGGUGUCGGCAUCUACUCCGUCAGCGACGACGGUUCCCACUCGUCGGAAAAACAACAACAGCGUUAGUGAUCAACAGAGAUGCUGUCAAUUAGAUCGAGGAGCAUCACCAAUGGAUAAUUUCGAAACAAUAGAUUGAUCAGAAUUUGUAACCUCGUCGGAAUCUUUACCUCGGAGUCGGAACAAGACGACGGGGCGAUGACGACGAUGCGGCGGUCGAGGCUAGGUUACCAUGCUGUUGAUGGGCUUGGGAGGGUGGAUUAUGCUAUUGAAAACGGUGGAGCUUUUGUUGUGAGACAUUCGGAGGCUUAUGAUGUGUGGUUGGGGAAUUGGUUCUUGUUGAAUAGUGAAUUAGAAGGGGUUUUGGGGAAAUGAAUGGGGAAGGAAGCAACUACGGUUGUAGAGGCUACAAACACUUUUUUUUUUAAUCUGGAUUGGAAGAGGAAGUAGGUUAAAAGGAGGUUGGUGGUGGUGGUGGAGAGAACUGGUUUUGUGUUUUUGUGAGAAAAGAAGAAGACAAGGGAUGAUGAGGGUAUUUUUGUCCAUUCCCAUGUCAUUUUGCUAAUUUGAUGAUGUGGUAGUAAUUAAGUAGGUGUAGGGACGGAAUUUUAAAGGAUUAAACUUUGAAAGGGUAAUUUUCCAGGAUUAACGAUUACAGAGGCCAAUUUUUAAAUAAGCCCUAACUGCAGGGACGAAACACAUAUUAAAGCCUUGAUUAUAUACAUGACAUAUGUAAGCUAAUAUAAUAUUGCAAAUAGGUCAAUAGUGCAAAAUAUAACUUAAUUAUAAAACAAAGCAUACAUAACCACUAUAAUAAAUAGUUAUGUUCAACUUAGAAUCAAAAUACAAAAUUAACUUGCAAAAUCAUAAGUUUCAUUAGACUUUAAACCAUCCAAAGAACCAUCCGAAAAACCAAGUUUCAGAAGUUUCUAAAGUUAUUAAUAAAUCUAUUCAAAAAAUGAACUAGUUAAUUUCUUCAAAAGAUCAAUCCUUCUAAAGUUCCACAACAUCAUUAUCAUCGGUGUUUUCUUCUCCAGAUAAUAAAGAGUUUUCAAUAUUAGAACCAAAUACAUGACUUGAACUCAAUUCAACAUUAAUUUCAGUACCUUGAGCUUGAAAAAAAAUGGAUUUUGGAAGAAAAUGGACUCCAAAAAAUGGCCCAAAAUAACAAAAAAAAAAAAAAAAGUGCUUUUUUAAACGUAAACUCGGUCAAGUUUAACAUGUGUUAACUAGAUCAAACUAGUCAAACGUUCUGAUUUCAUCAAAAACCGAGUUUAAAAAUGUAAUCACAUGUGAGUUUACGAGUUAACAUUCGAUCUGUGGAACACUGUCUAUAUGAAAAAAGUUAUUGUGAGUAUUGAGAGAUUAUUUUAACGUCAGAGACUAUUUUGAUUAACAAAGUGUACAAUCAAGGACUAUUUUAAAAAUUUUAUACAUUGAUGAACUAUUGUGACAAUUCAUUACACAUUCAUGGAUCAAAAUGACUAUUAGUUGGGUGAAAAACAUAGGAAAACUUUAUUCCAUAUAUAUUGAUACUUGCUAUAUUACAGUAAAUUAUUUAUUUACCUAAAAACACAAAUAAAUUGUUUAUUAUUCAUCAAUUGAUCACAAUAAUGGCUUUCGUAAAAUCACAUACAAUGCCAACAGAGCUAGAAGAGGCUUUGACUUAUACAACUUACCUAUACCCCUUCUAAUUUUUGGCUUAAUAAUUGGGACAUAUAGUACUAUAUACACACAUUAUAAAUGAAUAUCAUAUGCACAUAAAAGUAUGUGGCACAAACGUUAUGAACCACUAAUUUUGCCGACGAAUUGAAUUAAUGUUUAUAAAUAUAUGUAUAGUUUGGUUUUGGACAUUUAAAUGCCUGAAAGACACUCAUGUGGGGUCAUUGGGUACCUUGAUUUAUCUUGACAAUAAUCAUAGAUCACAUGGUUCAUACGAACCCACCUAUAUCUUCUAGCUUCAAUGGCACUAAGAGCUUGAUAUUCAACUCCUUCCCACCAAUUUUUUGGGUUAGUGGAACAUGUAGUUGGUCCUGGAAUUGCACAUCCUUCAAUAUCAAAAUCCUUGUAAUAAGCAUAGAAAGGUGCUUUACUCCAAUUAAUUUUCUCUAAUCCACCUCUUGUUGCCCAAUUAUCAGCUUCCCAUAAUGUUGAAAAUACUCCCAUGGCUUGCAUUUUUGGGUAUGGUAUCCCUUUUGCUUCAUUGUUCUUGUAUACUCUAAUGGGAACUUCAUCAACGUAGAACCUGCAUGUGUAUUCAAGGUUUUAAAUAAGUCAUAGAAUGCAAUUUUAGGCACAACAUCAAAGUUAUUUUUAUGAUUUAUUUUUUUUAAAACGAAAGGUGGAAGCUAUCAUUAAUCAAAAUUACACUCAUGACCAUUUGAAAACUUCCCAUAAUGUUGAAAAUACUCCCAUGGCUUGCAUCUUUACGUUAUGAUUUUGCGACAAAAGCGUGACUAUAACUAAUUAGGUCAAAAUAUUUGCUAAAUUUAGUUAAGAAAUUAAAGAUGGUUGGAUUGGAUGUUACAUGUUUCUACUAUACAUUUCUUUUACUUUUACCUGUAGUUUAGUAGCUAUAAAUUUAAGGUGGAUGCGCCAUGUGUACAUAAUUCAAAGGCAAUUUCUAUGGUACAUUCAAUAAAAUUGAGUGUACUGGUACACCCAUAUAUUAAAUGAAUAGUUUAAUGAGUUAUUUUUUUUUAGAAAAAAUAUAUUUUUUAUUGGUUACAAUUAGAAUAAUUAUAUUUUAUUUCUCAAAAGUGUCGACAAAUCAAAAUUCAAUUUUUUUUAAAAUUUUUUAAUACCCAUAAUAGUGAAUAUUGAUUAUUUUUUUUAGAUAAAAUGUUAAAAUAUUAGUAUGAUUCUUAUAAAGGACGAAAUGACGUUUUUUCUUAUAAAAUAAUAUUUUCUAAAAUAUAAAAGUUGAUAAAUAUCUCUUUAUUACAGAAAAAUGAUCGAUAACUUAUUGAUUUAUGAAAUAGGUGUACCGGUACACUUUAAUUUAAGGGUGUACCAUAGAAACUCUCUAAUUCAAACCCCGACACUCCAUAUUAUGUAAUCACAUAUAUUGAGAGUUGAGAUUCAUUAAUGAUCAAUUUAACUUCAUUUACCAUGAAUUUAAACGUGGUUAACCAUAACAGAGUUAUGCAAACUUGUACCUUCGAGGUACAAGUUAAGGACCUAAAAGUGAAGAAAAAAAAUAUUACAUUUAAAAAAUAAUAAAUACACAAUUUUCAAUAUUAUACUUUUAGAUUUACUUCUUAUCUUAUGUCAUUACGAUAUAAUUAGGAUACAUGUUAACAUUUUCAUAAUUUAAGUUUACAACUACAUGAUUUGCUAAAAAAAAAAUACAUAAUUUGAACCAUAUAUAGUGAAGAUAACAAACCAUCUAUUUGAAGUAAAAAAUUGUCUCAAACGUUUUCUAAAAAAAGUUGCUAAAUUUGAUUGUACAAAUAACACAAUUAGAGUAUCAAAUAACACAACUCAAACAUUAAAUAUCUCACUACAACUUUGUGAUUUACAUUAUGCAAUUAUAUUUAUUUUUGGGAUCAUGUUAACUGGUAUCCCAAAGACACGAGUUAAGAAAUCCAAAAAAUAAAGUUGAAUUAAAAAUGAUACUUUUUUGACUUUUAAAGAAUUGAUUACACAAAUUUCAAUGCAAAAAUUAUUAUAUUUGCUUUCUUAACCUAUGCCCCCGAAGCACGGGUUAACAUUUCCCUUAUUUUUAAUUAUCAACGGUGGGCAUUGGUUAACAUUUCCGUUAUUUUUAUUAACAGAAUCACAUCAUUAUGCUUAUAUUUAUUUACUUAGUACUUACACAAUAUGGUGAUGAUUCCAAAGAAUGGAGUAAGUGUGGAAAUCAGCAGAAGGAUCAAACCAAAGAUUAACUCUUUGUUCUCUAUCACCCUUUCCAUGAGCAUAAAUGUUUGUUUGAACUGUGUAAGGUUGUCCAGUACGGUUUCCCAAGAACUCAAAAUCCAACUCAUCACGUACACUGUCAGUGUCAGAGUUCAUCUACCACAAAAAAUAUAUUCAAUGAUUUCAGUUUUUGACUCGCUUAAUUAUAUUUUUAACAAAGAGUAGGGAAAUUAAUAUGAACUUACAUAAAAUGCAGUAACAGUACCAGCAGAAUCUCCAGGGACAAGUUUGAUCUUCAUGCUUACACGACCAAACAAAUACUUCACCUUUGAUGCAAACCCGCAACCUGUGCAAAAAUUAAAUUAAGUAUUUUUGAUAGAUAAAUAGGUAACAUGACUUAUCCAAAUUAUAUUAGUAUAGUAUUUGUUAUUUAUAGUAUAUAAUAACAUAAGUUACUUACCAGAGCCUUGGUCUAGGGUAAGUUGGAUAGUUCUGCCUUGAUCAAUUUGCUUGAUAUGGGGUUCUGACCACGUGACAUGAAAAUCUUGAUUAAAAGUUGCUGGUCUUCCCCAAACAGAUGAUACGACAAUCCACAAUAACAACAUAAAAAAGACACCAUUGUUUUUAAAGGGGUAAAAUAUGGCCAUGGAUGUGUAUUACGUAAUGUAAUAUAUAGGAAGAAAAUAUUUGAUUGUGCAAUGUAAACGAGAGUAGUGUCCAAUAUUUAUACAUGAGAAUUUGGAAAGGAAAAAGAAAAGAAUAAUCAAUCAGUUCAUUGUCUCAUUGAAAUGGAAGAUGUUAAAACAUAUAACAUUGCUUUCUAUACAGCUAAGGGCUUGAAGUCAUUAGGACCUACCUAAGCAGUUUGUCCUCUGCUUGGCCCCUUUAAUCCUUUGUUUGCCCAAUCAUUUUCUUGGCGUGUGCUUCAUAUGUAUUUAUAAAUAAAAAAUAAUAAUUUGAGCAAAAAUGAACAACAUUUAAUGUGUUGAUGGGAUAAGUAUUUUUUAGAUGAACUAUCAAUGAUUAAUUUGUUAGCGUUUAACCUUUAAUUUCAAGAAACAAAGUUAAAAUUCUUUUAGAAACAAUUAUAAAAUAGUCAGUAAUGUCAUUUUAAUUUAAUUAAAUAAUUUCAUCAUUCUCAAUUUCUUUUGACCAAGUAGUUUAGUGACCAUAAUUUUAUGGUUUGAAGAAUUUCGAGUUCGAAUUUCAACCCCUACAUAUUAUAACGUCGCUAUCAAUCGAGAACUAUUCAUAAUUUAAUAAAACAAAAGUUGAUUAAUAUGGUAAGGGAAGAGUUUGUUAGCAUUAAAUAUCUUGAAUCUCUCGCGAAAACACAUUUUAAUUGGUAGUUGAAAGGAUUGAUAUGGAGAGACCGAAAUUUGAACUUCAGAUUAGUGUGAGUCUAGUCAUUAAACUACUUGACUAAAAAAAAAUCUUAAACCUCAUAUAGACAUAAUAUUGUUUCAGCGUCCCAACUUUUAUCUUUGGAUUAAUUAUUUUUUAAAUAGGUCAGAUUAACUUGUAUCUUAAAGACACAUGUUAAGUAUCCCAAAAAGAGCUACUUUGUAUUGGAAAACAUAAUAUUUUAAUUUUUAAGAAAUUGACUACACGACUUUUGAUACGUAUAUUAUUAUAAUGAAUUUCUUAACAUGUACUCAAGUUAGCAUUUGCCUUCUUAAAUUAGUUCAUCUCAGUUUUCUUUUCAUUUUUGCUUUGACAUUUUGAAACUUUCACAGCCAAACUUCAAAUUUUGAAUGAUAUGUGGAAAUUGAAAUUAUACACAAUGUACUACUAUUAGUAGAAAAAUUGGUUUGAGAUGAACUUAUUCAUACGUACAUUUCAGCUGAGAGGCCUAACAAUGUUGCUAAUUAUGAGCUUUGCUGUUAUCUUUAAUUUUCCUUUAUCUAAUUUGAGGUCCACGUAGCUUAAGCCUUUAAGGUGAGGCCAUUAAUCCAUAAUUAUUUGAUGAGCCAUGUACUGUGGACAGCUGAGGGAGGUUGAUUGAUCACGAACGGGUUGAAUCAGCAACUACAUCCAACGUGGAACCUACUCAUUGGUCCAAGCCAGAAUCAAAAACUGCUGCUAUUGAUUAUUGAAUAAGAAUCUUUACCCAAACAGUUUUGAUCAUUCCCAAAGUAAAUCACCAAAAAAUUGCUGCGUAAGUUAACUCACGCAGCGUGACUUAAGUCACGCUAAAAAACAAACAAAAUCUCACAGUCACGUUGAAACAAAAGCAGCACAAGAGUUUUGAGGAAAACCUAAUCCAUAUGCAAUAAGCAACAAAAGUCAUGGUGAUCUCGUCAAGGAAUUAUGUAUCAAUCGUGAAACCUCCAUAGUUAUUUAUUCUGAAUCAAUGACUUUGCUAUAAAGCCACUUUCUUUUGGGAAAAAAAUCGUGAUGUUCUUAAAUUGAAGGAAGGGAAAAACGUGGAUUGAAGUCCAAUUCAAGUCCACCAGGAACCGAAAAAGUCAUUCUUUAAAAAAAAAAAAAAAAGGUGAAGAAGACAACGGCAAAGAUGAAGAAGAGAUGAAUGACUUUUUGUUCUAGCGUGACUUAACUUAGGUACAAAAUAUACUAGCGCAUGUUAAGUCACGUAGCGUGACCUAACAUAAGUACAUACUAUUACACUAGCGCAUGUUAACAUACGUAAGAGUAUUUUAGACUUUUACUUUGGAAAUGAGCGAAAUCAUUUGGGUAAUGAGCAGAAAUCAUUGAAUAAUUUGGUUUGACCCCAAUAAUGCUAAUUAAGUUUCCAACUGUGAUUUUCGUGUAUUUCAGUGGGAGAGAAAAUCAUUCGAAUCAACCUUACCGUUUGGAUUAAAAAGGUUCUUGGAAUCAUUAUUCAACUUUUUAUUUUCACUUCUCGUUUUCUCCCUUCAUUUUUUUACUUCUAUCUUCCGUUUUUUUUUGUUUACUCGUUUUUUAUUUUCCAAUUUUUUUUCAUUAUAAGUUACCUAAACUAAGGCAAGGAGAAAAUAGAGAUGGUGACCAUAGUUUCGUCUACGUUUAUUAAAUGCAUGCUUAUUUAUAUGGCUGAUUGGGAAAUAUGGAACUAAUAGGAAUUUGCUGGACUUCACUUGUGCCGACAAGAACUUUGGUUUCUCUUAAUUAAGUACAUACAUCCUCUCUCGGUUUUAUGAUUGCAUAUUUUGUUGAGAAAAUUUAUUUUUGUUUAUUUAUCCUUUUCAAUAUGUUAGUUUGUAUUAGCUAUAUUUUUUAUAUUAUAAUCUAAAAGACAUUCUAAAAGUAACUAAUUGUAAUAAUAUUUGGGUCAAAUAUCAUCUAUGGUUCUUUAAGUUCGAUGUUUAUAACAAUGUAGUCAUUUAAAUUUUUUUGUUACAAAUUGAUCGUUUAAGUUAGAAAAUAUAAGGACAAUGAUUUUUUUUUAUUGUAUCAUAAAGUUUUGGACAUUAGGACAUGUAUAUAUGUUGCUUACAAGAGCCUUGGUCUAGGGUAAGUUGGAUAGUUCUGCCUUGAUCAAUUUGCUUGAUAUGGGGUUCUGACCACGUGACAUGAAAGUCUUGAUUAAAAGUUGCUGGUCUUCCCCAAACAGAUGAUACGACAAUCCACAAUAACAACAUAAAAAAGAUACCAUUGUUUUUAAAAGGGUAAAAUAUGGUCAUGGUUGUGUAUUACGUAAUGUAAUAUAUAGGAAGAAAAUAUUUGAUUGUGCAAUGUAAAUGAGCAUAGUGUCCUAUAUUUAUACAUGAGAAUUUGGAAAGGAAAACGAAGAGAAUAAUCAAUCAGUUCAUUGUCUCAUUGAAAUGGAAGAUGUUAAAACAUAUAACAUAUAUUGCUUUCUAUACAGCUAAGUGCUUGCCGACCUUAGGACCUACCUAAAUACCAUGACCAACGAAAAUUUGAGUGGAAUCAAAUUCGUUUAGAGAUGUUCAAAACCAAAUCAGUCCAAUAAAAAUCAUAAACCGAACCAACUAAAAUCGAUAACCACAAAAAACCCGUGUUUGGUUUGGUUGUGUUCGGGGCACUUUUCACUCAACUCCUCAUUAAGCUCAACAAACCUUCUUCUUUUUCCAAUUAACAUUAUAUAUACAAGGGUUAAUAUGUCUUUACCUCCUGUAAUUUGGGCGAGUUCCGGUUUUCCCCCCUGUAAAAAAAAAAGUUUAGAUUCCAACCCUGUAAAAUAAGAUUCUUUGAUUUUAGCCCCUGACCCAUGUGACUGUGCAUAAUUGCUGACGUGGCGGGCUGAGUGGCAUGCUGACGUGCUGACUGUAUAAUUUUUUUUUUUUUAUUUAAAAAAAUAUAUAAAAAUUAAAAAAAAAUCAGGAUUUUCUUUAUUACGAAAAAUAUUUUCUGAAAUAUUUAUUUUUCGAAAAUUCCAAAAUUUAUAAUUUACAAAAAAAAUAUAUUUCAAAAUUUUUUAAAAUUAUUUUUGAAAAUGUUGAAAUAUAUAUUUCAAAAAAAAAAUUCAAAAUUAUUUUCGAAAAUUUGGAAUAUAUAUUUUUUGAAGUUUAAAACAGAUUUUUUUUCGAAAAAUAAGUUUUUAAAAUUUUCUCAACAAAAAAAAAAAUCUGGAUACAAAUUUAUUUAAAAAUUUAGGAAAAUUUAGAUUUUUAUUACGAUGUGUUACAGAUUUGAGAAUAUUUUUUAAUAUUUAAAAAUUGAGGAUAAAAAAAUCUGGAAAUUUUUUUAAUAUUUAAAUUUAUUCUUAUCUAUUUGUUAUAUGUGUUAUUUGUAUUGAAAAUUGUGGGCAUUUUUGAAAAGAAACAGCCAACCCAAAAGCUGAAAGGGGUUGUUUUCUUUAUAUAUAUUUCCAAAAAUAUUAUAUAUAAAAAAUUCAUACACUUACUAUAUUUUGAAACUUUCAAAAAUUAAAAAAAAAUCCAAAUUAAUUAAAUUUUAAAAAUAUUCGAAAAAAUAAUAUAAGCUAAUUUUUUGAAUGUUUUGGUAAAAAAAUUAAUAUUUUUUUUUUGAAAAAAAAUCCAAUCUUUUUUUCGUUUUUUAAAAAAAUUGUUUUUUUUCUUGAUUUUAAAUUUUUGAAAAUUAAUUUUCAGUUUUUUUUUUUAUCUUUUUAAAAAUAAUUUAUUAAACCAUUACACACAUGUCAAAUUUAAAAAAAUAAAAAUAAAAAUAAUUACACAGUGGCGUGCCACAUCAGCGUCUAAAUGAGGUCAAGGGUGUUUUGUGGAGAAUCUUCAUAUUACAGGGGUGUUUUGUGGAGAAUAUUUAUAUUAUAAGGUUGGAAUCUAAAUUUUUUUUUUACAGGGGGGAAAACCGGAACUCGCCCAAAUUACAGGGGGGUAAAGACAUAUUAUCCCUAUAUACAAAUAUGUAAUCUUUUUCGAUUCAUUUAAAAAAAAAAAAAAAACCUAUUUGUAACAUGAAGACCAUCUCUCCUCCAACUCGGUUGUCUCUCCUCCAUGGUCUCUCUCCCUCUAUUUGCUUUGGAGUUCAAUUUUGAUGCAUUUUUUUUUUUUUUGGAGUUAGGCUAUACUUGGAUAACCUUUUGUUUAUGUUUAAUUGUUGCAAAUUUUGUAAUGGGAGUUAGUUGUUGCUAAAAAGUUGAAUUUUGUAACUUGUGAAGCUACCAAGUCAGGGAUAGAAGGAUGAAAGUUGAUCUUCAAUAGGGUUGAAAGGUUCAUUUUGGGGGUUGAAAACGUAAUGGCACAACUUGUGGAGCUACCUAAAAUUUUUAGUCUAAUUGGUUGCAAGUGAAAUUUUAAGGAGUCAAAUGACAUUCAAAGGGUUGAAGAAUUAAAGGAAAAUCUUAUGGGGUUACAAAGUGUAGUGGGAUGCAAGUAUAGUCAUAGAUGACUAGAGAAGAAUAAUCAGACCUAAAAACUUGCGGGAGUUAUCAAUGAUAGUUGGAUGCAAAUGGAGAUUAGUACCUAGAUCAAGGUUCAAGUGGGGCUUGGACUUGACCUGUUUCCUGAAGAGAAGUUCCAAGAUGGAGAGAGCAGCAUAGUGGUUGAUGAGUAAAUUGUAAUCACCACUUAUUUGAAGGCAGGAUAGAUAAUUUUGAAUUGUGUCAUAUAAAUAAGGCAGGAUGUGCUGUCAUAGAGCAACUCGCCCCGACGAGUAACUCCAUCAUUGCAGAGUGAUUUUCCAUGCUCAGUUUCGACGUAUGACGCUCACCGGAAGUCUGAUGCUCAUCGGAAGGAGACUUUGUUUCAAACAUAAGAUAAUGAUAUUCUGGAUUUUAGAAAAUUUGUUCAGAACGAUAAAUAAUUCAUAUCGAGAAUCAUGUGAGCUUUCAUCAUCGGUGUCGGCAUCUACUCCGUCAGCGACGACGGUUCCCACUCGUCGGAAAAACAACAACAGCGUUAGUGAUCAACAGAGAUGCUGUCAAUUAGAUCGAGGAGCAUCACCAAUGGAUAAUUUCGAAACAAUAGAUUGAUCAGAAUUUGUAACCUCGUCGGAAUCUUUACCUCGGAGUCGGAACAAGACGACGGGGCGAUGACGACGAUGCGGCGGUCGAGGCUAGGUUACCAUGCUGUUGAUGGGCUUGGGAGGGUGGAUUAUGCUAUUGAAAACGGUGGAGCUUUUGUUGUGAGACAUUCGGAGGCUUAUGAUGUGUGGUUGGGGAAUUGGUUCUUGUUGAAUAGUGAAUUAGAAGGGGUUUUGGGGAAAUGAAUGGGGAAGGAAGCAACUACGGUUGUAGAGGCUACAAACACUUUUUUUUUUAAUCUGGAUUGGAAGAGGAAGUAGGUUAAAAGGAGGUUGGUGGUGGUGGUGGAGAGAACUGGUUUUGUGUUUUUGUGAGAAAAGAAGAAGACAAGGGAUGAUGAGGGUAUUUUUGUCCAUUCCCAUGUCAUUUUGCUAAUUUGAUGAUGUGGUAGUAAUUAAGUAGGUGUAGGGACGGAAUUUUAAAGGAUUAAACUUUGAAAGGGUAAUUUUCCAGGAUUAACGAUUACAGAGGCCAAUUUUUAAAUAAGCCCUAACUGCAGGGACGAAACACAUAUUAAAGCCUUGAUUAUAUACAUGACAUAUGUAAGCUAAUAUAAUAUUGCAAAUAGGUCAAUAGUGCAAAAUAUAACUUAAUUAUAAAACAAAGCAUACAUAACCACUAUAAUAAAUAGUUAUGUUCAACUUAGAAUCAAAAUACAAAAUUAACUUGCAAAAUCAUAAGUUUCAUUAGACUUUAAACCAUCCAAAGAACCAUCCGAAAAACCAAGUUUCAGAAGUUUCUAAAGUUAUUAAUAAAUCUAUUCAAAAAAUGAACUAGUUAAUUUCUUCAAAAGAUCAAUCCUUCUAAAGUUCCACAACAUCAUUAUCAUCGGUGUUUUCUUCUCCAGAUAAUAAAGAGUUUUCAAUAUUAGAACCAAAUACAUGACUUGAACUCAAUUCAACAUUAAUUUCAGUACCUUGAGCUUGAAAAAAAAUGGAUUUUGGAAGAAAAUGGACUCCAAAAAAUGGCCCAAAAUAACAAAAAAAAAAAAAAAAGUGCUUUUUUAAACGUAAACUCGGUCAAGUUUAACAUGUGUUAACUAGAUCAAACUAGUCAAACGUUCUGAUUUCAUCAAAAACCGAGUUUAAAAAUGUAAUCACAUGUGAGUUUACGAGUUAACAUUCGAUCUGUGGAACACUGUCUAUAUGAAAAAAGUUAUUGUGAGUAUUGAGAGAUUAUUUUAACGUCAGAGACUAUUUUGAUUAACAAAGUGUACAAUCAAGGACUAUUUUAAAAAUUUUAUACAUUGAUGAACUAUUGUGACAAUUCAUUACACAUUCAUGGAUCAAAAUGACUAUUAGUUGGGUGAAAAACAUAGGAAAACUUUAUUCCAUAUAUAUUGAUACUUGCUAUAUUACAGUAAAUUAUUUAUUUACCUAAAAACACAAAUAAAUUGUUUAUUAUUCAUCAAUUGAUCACAAUAAUGGCUUUCGUAAAAUCACAUACAAUGCCAACAGAGCUAGAAGAGGCUUUGACUUAUACAACUUACCUAUACCCCUUCUAAUUUUUGGCUUAAUAAUUGGGACAUAUAGUACUAUAUACACACAUUAUAAAUGAAUAUCAUAUGCACAUAAAAGUAUGUGGCACAAACGUUAUGAACCACUAAUUUUGCCGACGAAUUGAAUUAAUGUUUAUAAAUAUAUGUAUAGUUUGGUUUUGGACAUUUAAAUGCCUGAAAGACACUCAUGUGGGGUCAUUGGGUACCUUGAUUUAUCUUGACAAUAAUCAUAGAUCACAUGGUUCAUACGAACCCACCUAUACCUUCUAGCUUCAAUGGCACUAAGAGCUUGAUAUUCAACCCCUUCCCACCAAUUUUUUGGGUUAGUGGAACAUGUAGUUGGUCCUGGAAUUGCACAUCCUUCAAUAUCAAAAUCCUUGUAAUAAGCAUAGAAAGGUGCUUUACUCCAAUUAAUUUUCUCUAAUCCACCUCUUGUUGCCCAAUUAUCAGCUUCCCAUAAUGUUGAAAAUACUCCCAUGGCUUGCAUUUUUGGGUAUGGUAUCCCUUUUGCUUCAUUGUUCUUGUAUACUCUAAUAGGAACUUC